RNAcentral lists this transfer RNA (77 nucleotides) under Desulfobulbus sp. RNAcentral's name for it is "tRNA-Met". It matches the Rfam family "tRNA". Rfam says of the family: Transfer RNA (tRNA) molecules are approximately 80 nucleotides in length. Their secondary structure includes four short double-helical elements and three loops (D, anti-codon, and T loops). RNAcentral also lists the same sequence under 13 other names. Lineage: Bacteria; Pseudomonadati; Thermodesulfobacteriota; Desulfobulbia; Desulfobulbales; Desulfobulbaceae. The record is from RNAcentral.
CGCGGGGUGGAGCAGUCUGGUAGCUCGUCGGGCUCAUAACCCGAAGGUCAUAGGUUCAAAUCCUGUCCCCGCUACCA